RNAcentral lists this ribosomal RNA (484 nucleotides) under uncultured bacterium. RNAcentral describes it as "partial 16S ribosomal RNA". It matches the Rfam family "Bacterial small subunit ribosomal RNA", at positions 30 to 507 of the family's 1533-position model. The record is from RNAcentral.
AUUGGACGCUGGCGGCAGGCCUAACACAUGCAAGUCGAGCGGAUGAAGGGAGCUUGCUCCUGGAUUCAGCGGCGGACGGGUGAGUAAUGCCUAGGAAUCUGCCUGGUAUUGGGGGAUAACGUCCGGAAACGGGCGCUAAUACCGCAUACGUCCUGAUGGAGAAAGUGGGGGAUCUUCGGACCUCACGCUAUCAGAUGAGCCUAGGUCGGAUUAGCUAGUUGGUGGGGUAAAGGCCUACCAAGGCGACGAUCCGUAACUGGUCUGAGAGGAUGAUCAGUCACACUGGAACUGAGACACGGUCCAGACUCCUACGGGAGGCAGCAGUGGGGAAUAUUGGACAAUGGGCGAAAGCCUGAUCCAGCCAUGCCGCGUGUGUGAAGAAGGUCUUCGGAUUGUAAAGCACUUUAAGUUGGGAGGAAGGGCAGUAAGUUAAUACCUUGCUGUUUUGACGUUACCAACAGAAUAAGCACCGGCUAACUUCGUG